CAGACGACACAAGUUUUGAAAAGAAAUAGUACACAAAGGACAACACGAACAUUUCCUGUGACAAGUUGAAUAUAAUAGUGCAACAUAUGUGGGCUAUAGUUUUCUCCUUUGCGAAAAAGGCUUCGUGGAGGAGGUACUGCGGUAUUGCCACUACCAUGACAACAAGUAAACUUUAAACAACAUGAACAUACAAAUAUAAAUGAAAUAUAAAAGGAAUCCUUGAGUGACGGCUGCUUAAUCAGCGGGAUAACAUGUUGUCUCUCUAAUAACAACUGUCAAACGUCUUGCCGCUUAUAUUUGACAUUCACCGAAAUCAAUGGCAGAUUAUGAUG
Dreissena polymorpha is the source of this 332-nucleotide long non-coding RNA. RefSeq lists it as uncharacterized. Lineage: Eukaryota; Metazoa; Mollusca; Bivalvia; Myida; Dreissenidae. The record is from RefSeq and is a predicted model, not a curated record. The transcript is spliced from 4 exons.